GACGAACGCUGGCGGCGUGCUUAACACAUGCAAGUCGAGCGGUAAGGCCCUUUCGGGGGUACACGAGCGGCGAACGGGUGAGUAACACGUGGGUGACCUGCCCUCAGCUCUGGGAUAAGCCUGGGAAACCGGGUCUAAUACUGGAUAUGACUCCAUGACGCAUGUUGUGGGGUGGAAAGCCUUGUGCGGCUGAGGAUGGGCCCGCGGCCUAUCAGCUUGUUGGUGGGGUGAUGGCCUACCAAGGCGACGACGGGUAGCCGGCCUGAGAGGGCGACCGGCCACACUGGGACUGAGACACGGCCCAGACUCCUACGGGAGGCAGCAGUGGGGAAUCUUGCGCAAUGGGCGAAAAGCCUGACGCAGCGACGCCGCGUGAGGGAUGACGGCCUCGGU
RNAcentral lists this ribosomal RNA (393 nucleotides) under uncultured bacterium. RNAcentral describes it as "bacterial SSU rRNA". It matches the Rfam family "Bacterial small subunit ribosomal RNA", at positions 28 to 423 of the family's 1533-position model. The record is from RNAcentral.